This 73-nucleotide transfer RNA is filed under the name Alligator mississippiensis (American alligator). It matches the Rfam family "tRNA". Rfam says of the family: Transfer RNA (tRNA) molecules are approximately 80 nucleotides in length. Their secondary structure includes four short double-helical elements and three loops (D, anti-codon, and T loops). Further hydrogen bonds mediate the characteristic L-shaped molecular structure. tRNAs have two regions of fundamental functional importance: the anti-codon, which is responsible for specific mRNA codon recognition, and the 3' end, to which the tRNAs corresponding amino acid is attached (by aminoacyl-tRNA synthetases). tRNAs cope with the degeneracy of the genetic code in two manners: having more than one tRNA (with a specific anti-codon) for a particular amino acid; and 'wobble' base-pairing, i.e. permitting non-standard base-pairing at the 3rd anti-codon position. The record is from Rfam by way of RNAcentral. Lineage: Eukaryota; Metazoa; Chordata; Crocodylia; Alligatoridae.
GCCUGGCUAGCUCAGUUGGUAGCGCAUGGGACUCUUAAUCCCAGGGUCAUGGGUUCAAGCCCCAUGUUGGGUG